RNAcentral lists this ribosomal RNA (117 nucleotides) under Escherichia coli. Its description in RNAcentral is "partial 16S ribosomal RNA". It matches the Rfam family "Bacterial small subunit ribosomal RNA", at positions 1 to 108 of the family's 1533-position model. Lineage: Bacteria; Pseudomonadati; Pseudomonadota; Gammaproteobacteria; Enterobacterales; Enterobacteriaceae. The record is from RNAcentral.
UUAAAUUGAAGAGUUUGAUCAUGGCUCAGAUUGAACGCUGGCGGCAGGCCUAACACAUGCAAGUCGAACGGUAACAGAAAGCAGCUUGCUGCUUUGCUGACGAGUGGCGGACGGGUG